RNAcentral lists this ribosomal RNA (779 nucleotides) under uncultured Neocallimastigales. RNAcentral's name for it is "partial large subunit ribosomal RNA". It matches the Rfam family "Eukaryotic large subunit ribosomal RNA", at positions 24 to 611 of the family's 3401-position model. The record is from RNAcentral. Lineage: Eukaryota; Fungi; Neocallimastigomycota; Neocallimastigomycetes; Neocallimastigales.
UACGACUACAUAUCAGGCAUAUCAAUAAGCGGAGGAAAAGAAACUAACAAGGAUUCCCUUAGUAACGGCGAGUGAAGCGGGAAGAGCUCAAAUUUGAAAUCUUCAAGGUUCUACCUUGACGAAUUGUAGUUUAAAGAAGUGUUUUCUGUUGGAGUUUUGGUAAAAGUUCUUUGGAAUAGGACAUCAUAGAGGGUGAGAAUCCCGUAUUUGACCAUUACUUCCAGCGUUGUGAUACACUUUCAAAGAGUCGGAUUGUUUGGGAAUGCAGUCCAAAAUGGGUGGUAAAUUUCAUCUAAAGCUAAAUAUUGGCGAGAGACCGAUAGCGAACAAGUACCGUGAGGGAAAGAUGGAAAGAACUUUGAAAAGAGAGUUAAACAGUACGUGAAAUUGUCAAAAGGGAAGCGUUUGACACCAGUGUUGUUUUCUCGAAAAUCAAUUAAAAAUAAAUUUGAUUUUGUGUUGUAUUGACCUUAAAAGCUUUCUUCACUUUUUUCAUGUUAUUUUUAAUGCACUUUUCGUUUAACAAGUCAACAUCAGUUUCUUUUGCUGUAAAAAGGUCAUAGGAAGGUGGCUUACUUUCGGUUAGAAGUGUUUAUAGCCUUUGACCUCCUGCAAUCGGAGAGAUUGAGGUCUGCAGCGUAGACUCCUUCUGGAUUAGAUACAUUUGUGCUAAGUUAUAGCUUUUCAUAGACAACUUGUUGACUAUGUUUAGUCAUUGUAGCUUACUCGCUUAUGCUAAUUUUACCUACGCUUAGGAUGUUGAACGCGCACAGAGUCUC